This is a non-coding RNA of Pimephales promelas (fathead minnow), 450 nucleotides long. The record is from RefSeq and is a predicted model, not a curated record. NCBI's taxonomy places the organism in Eukaryota, Metazoa, Chordata, Actinopteri, Cypriniformes, Leuciscidae.
GAUGUAAAGGAAUGGGCAGCUGGUGAGACACCUGAUGCAUCUCAUGCCAGUCAAGGCACAACACACAGAGGAAUGCAGCAAUCAAUUGAGGGGCUCUACCUUAGUGUGAGGCACCGGAAGCGAACCCUCUACCGUCAGAAUGACAGCAGCAAGUUUCGCCAUCGCCUUCGAAGGAAGCUGGCAGAAGACAAAAAACUCCUUCUUCAAGAGAUACAGAAAUACAAUGAUCUUGUACUAGAAUCGGCAACAACCAUUGACGUUGCUGUGGUGGAGCAUUCCCUAACUGGAGAGAGCACUGUGUCUCAAAUAUGGCCGUGGGAGGUUCAUGGCAGUGCAAACAUGUCAAUGAAGAAACAAGUGCAUGACCAAGUGAUGUUAACAAGGCGACUGCAUGAGGAAACAAGAGUUUUGGUGUUGGUGUUCACAACACUGUACAUGGUUGCAGAGCCU